CAAGUGCCUGGAAAACAUAGGGCUAAAAUACAUUUAAGUUAUCUCAGGUCUAAGACAGAGAACAAUGUGUUGUAAGCCUAUGGUGUGAUAACAGAAUUUAGUAGUCUUACUAACAAGAGUGAAUUAUUUCUUUCCAUCCUUCUAACAAGUGAAUUUGGAGACAGUGACUCCCAAACAGCUGCUAGCUUAGGAUACACCUUAUCUGCCCAUCCUGUUCUUCUUGUAAUAAAUUUUCUACGAAGGUCACACUGUUUUAAAUCUUUGCCAGCUAUCAGUAAAAUUGCAGAUACGGUUGGUUUCAGAUAAUUUGUGAUUACUGGGGCAUCCAACUGUGCCAAAGGUGAAAAGUGCACCCUGAGGAAGACUGCUUACUUCAUCUUGAAGACCCCUGCCCACAUGAGGAAGACUACUUACUUCAUCUUAAAUACCCCUGCCCACAACCACUGGAGGGCAGUGCAGAAGCGCCAAAAGGGAGGAGACUUAUGAUAAUGAGUACCUAAACUAAUUGUAAUAUCCCCACCGAACUCUCGGGAACCUAAUGAAUAUGCAUGUUUGUGUGUAAUAAACAUCUGCUUGCUUAACCCCUCAGUGUGCAAGUUAGGAGGAGUGAUCCCCCUUGCACCCGGUGCCAUAAUAACCAUACCUGCUUUAUAACUCUC
Long non-coding RNA from Neopsephotus bourkii (Bourke's parrot), 659 nucleotides. RefSeq lists it as uncharacterized. The record is from RefSeq and is a predicted model, not a curated record. NCBI's taxonomy places the organism in Eukaryota, Metazoa, Chordata, Aves, Psittaciformes, Psittacidae. The transcript is spliced from 2 exons.